CAGUCGAGCGAGCUUGCCUAGAUGAAUUUGGUGCUUGCACCAGAUGAAACUAGAUACAAGCGAGCGGCGGACGGGUGAGUAACACGUGGGUAACCUGCCCAAGAGACCGGGAUAACACCUGGAAACAGAUGCUAAUACCGGAUAACAACACUAGACGCAUGUCUAGAGUUUAAAAGAUGGUUCUGCUAUCACUCUUGGAUGGACCUGCGGUGCAUUAGCUAGUUGGUAAGGUAACGGCUUACCAAGGCAAUGAUGCAUAGCCGAGUUGAGAGACUGAUCGGCCACAUUGGGACUGAGACACGGCCCAAACUCCUACGGGAGGCAGCAGUAGGGAAUCUUCCACAAUGGACGCAAGUCUGAUGGAGCAACGCCGCGUGAGUGAAGAAGGGUUUCGGCUCGUAAAGCUCUGUUGGUAGUGAAGAAAGAUAGAGGUAGUAACUGGCCUUUAUUUGACGGUAAUUACUUAGAAAGUCACGGCUAACUACGUGCCAGCAGCCGCGGUAAUACGUAGGUGGCAAGCGUUGUCCGGAUUUAUUGGGCGUAAAGCGAGUGCAGGCGGUUCAAUAAGUCUGAUGUGAAAGCCUUCGGCUCAACCGGAGAAUUGCAUCAGAAACUGUUGAACUUGAGUGCAGAAGAGGAGAGUGGAACUCCAUGUGUAGCGGUGGAAUGCGUAGAUAUAUGGAAGAACACCAGUGGCGAAGGCGGCUCUUUGGUCUGCAACUGACGCUGAGGCUCGAAAGCAUGGGUAGCGAACAGGAUUAGAUACCCUGGUAGUCCAUGCCGUAAACGAUGAGUGCUAAGUGUUGGGAGGUUUCCGCCUCUCAGUGCUGCAGCUAAC
This 838-nucleotide ribosomal RNA is filed under the name uncultured bacterium. RNAcentral's name for it is "bacterial SSU rRNA". It matches the Rfam family "Bacterial small subunit ribosomal RNA", at positions 59 to 856 of the family's 1533-position model. The record is from RNAcentral.